Molecule: long non-coding RNA, 343 nt
Organism: Octodon degus (degu)
Lineage: Eukaryota; Metazoa; Chordata; Mammalia; Rodentia; Octodontidae
Exons: 3
Source: RefSeq, a predicted model, not a curated record
UUUUAAAGGGAGGUGGGGGGGAAGUGUAGCUGAUUUAGGGACAAAUGUGUAAACCUAUUUUCCUAUGAAAAAUUUUAAGUGUCCCACUUGAAUAACGUAAUUCUUCAUAGAUAUUUUUUAUCUGUGGAGAAAUAGCAACCUAAUUAAUUUGCAAUGAAUUGUUUAUGUUUAGACAUAGAGUGCUAAGCCCUGCCUCUGGGAAUUAUCCAUUUUAAAGCAACCUUUUGUGCAAUUCAAGAUGAAGUUUUUAUAAGUAAUGGAAAGUGACAAUACAAUAACACUUUCUGUAUGAAAGUAUAUAUUUUAUGUGAUUUAUUCCUACUAAGUGAAAGUGCACUACUGC